UACGUAGGGUGCAAGCGUUAAUCGGAAUUACUGGGCGUAAAGCGUGCGCAGGCGGUUGUGCAAGACAGAUGUGAAAUCCCCGGGCUCAACCUGGGAAUUGCAUUUGUGACUGCACGGCUAGAGUGUGUCAGAGGGGGGUAGAAUUCCACGUGUAGCAGUGAAAUGCGUAGAGAUGUGGAGGAACACCGAUGGCGAAGGCAGCCCCCUGGGUCAAGAUUGACGCUCAUGCACGAAAGCGUGGGGAGCAAACAGGG
This 254-nucleotide ribosomal RNA is filed under the name uncultured bacterium. RNAcentral describes it as "partial 16S ribosomal RNA". It matches the Rfam family "Bacterial small subunit ribosomal RNA", at positions 524 to 777 of the family's 1533-position model. The record is from RNAcentral.